RNAcentral lists this long non-coding RNA (260 nucleotides) under Vigna radiata. Its description in RNAcentral is "long non-coding RNA (VRAD_LNC007252)". Lineage: Eukaryota; Viridiplantae; Streptophyta; Magnoliopsida; Fabales; Fabaceae. The record is from RNAcentral.
UGAACAGAUUUUACUGUUCAUGCGGAUUUACGAGCAAUUAAUUCAAAAGUUUUCGUGUUCGUUUGCGGUGAAUUGCAGGGAUGGAAAAGCGCUGAAUUGCGGGAUUGCACUGUCCAGACCAUCCUCACUAUUAGAAGAAGAUUUGCGCUGAUUUACCCUCAAAUGACUGAAAUACCCUGUACGAUUAUUAAAAUUACAACCCAAUAUCUUCAGCCCCCAUAUUCGAUUCUUAAGUUUAAAAACCGAUUCCAAGAAGCAAC